This 305-nucleotide ribosomal RNA is filed under the name uncultured bacterium. Its description in RNAcentral is "bacterial SSU rRNA". It matches the Rfam family "Bacterial small subunit ribosomal RNA", at positions 337 to 658 of the family's 1533-position model. The record is from RNAcentral.
UCCUACGGGGGGCAGCAGUAGGGAAUCUUCCACAAUGGACGAAAGUCUGAUGGAGCAACGCCGCGUGAAGGAAGACGGUUUUCGGAUUGUAAACUUCUGUUCUUAGUGAAGAAUAAUGACGGUAACUAAGGAGCAAGCCACGGCUAACUACGUGCCAGCAGCCGCGGUAAUACGUAGGUGGCAAGCGUUGUCCGGAAUUACUGGGUGUAAAGGGAGCGUAGGCGGGAAGCCAAGUCAGCUGUGAAAACUACGGGCUUAACCCGUAGACUGCAGUUGAAACUGGCUUUCUUGAGUGAAGUAGAGGU